This 502-nucleotide ribosomal RNA is filed under the name Lysinibacillus fusiformis. Its description in RNAcentral is "bacterial SSU rRNA". It matches the Rfam family "Bacterial small subunit ribosomal RNA", at positions 61 to 537 of the family's 1533-position model. The record is from RNAcentral. Lineage: Bacteria; Bacillati; Bacillota; Bacilli; Caryophanales; Bacillaceae.
UUCAAGGGACAGAGAACGAGCUUGCUCCUUCAACGUUAGCGGCGGACGGGUGAGUAACACGUGGGCAACCUACCUUAUAGUUUGGGAUAACUCCGGGAAACCGGGGCUAAUACCGAAUAAUCUGUUUCACCUCAUGGUGAAACACUGAAAGACGGUUUCGGCUGUCGCUAUAGGAUGGGCCCGCGGCGCAUUAGCUAGUUGGUGAGGUAACGGCUCACCAAGGCGACGAUGCGUAGCCGACCUGAGAGGGUGAUCGGCCACACUGGGACUGAGACACGGCCCAGACUCCUACGGGAGGCAGCAGUAGGGAAUCUUCCACAAUGGGCGAAAGCCCUGAUGGAGCCAACGCCGCGUGAAGUGAAAAAGGAUUUCGGUUUCGUAAACUCUGUUGUAAGGGAAGAACAAGUACAGUAAUUAACUGGCUGUACCUUGACGGUACCUUAUUANAAAGCCCACGGCUUACUAACGUGCCAGCACCCGCCGGUAAAUACGUAGGUGGCAA